Non-coding RNA from Oenanthe melanoleuca, 2943 nucleotides. NCBI's taxonomy places the organism in Eukaryota, Metazoa, Chordata, Aves, Passeriformes, Muscicapidae. The record is from the annotation of a RefSeq genome assembly.
UCCCUUUUGUGAUUCUCUGCUCACGUCCUUGUGUCCAUGUUCAGGUGACAAACAACUGACUGAGGUGGCAGAGUCAGUUUUUUCCCUGGCCCACAUCAGCUGCACAGACAUGAGUGUGCCUGAGAGCCUUUAACAGGAUCACAGAAGGGCUGAGUUUUGCAGAUGCCUCACUUAUACAAAGAGGACUUCAGAGCAACAUGGGGACAGACUUUUUUUACAGAGCCUGCAGAGAUUGGACAAAUGGUGGCCUUUCUCGGGUGAGGACAGAGGCCUCAGGCCCUGCAAUAGGGAAGAUCUCGGAGUUUGUCUCGCUCACCUGUCACAUCUUUGGUGUAGCCAUCACCGACAGCAACUACGCGUGGGACUGGAUCCGGCAGACUCCUGGCAAAGAGCUGCAGCACUUGGUGAUGCAGUAUCCUUUCACACAGCUCCAGCACAUCGCUGCACCCUUCCAGACCCGGGUCAACAGCUCUGCAGACCCCUCCAGGAACCAGCUGUGGCUGCAACUGCUCUCGCCAGUAGCUGCAGACACAGCCAUCUAUUUCUGCAGCAUGAGAGAACUUGAAAAGGGCACAGUGCUUGAAACGCAGGCAGGGCCAGCACAGAAUUGGAAGAAGGGGCUUUAAUCUAGCCAGAUCUUUUGUGGUUGCUGCAAGGCAAGGCUCUUCCCAGACUUGUCAAGAGCUGUCUUUUGGUGCUACAGCAAUAACAACGGCAGUCUCCCACAGGCAAACCCCAAACCAUUAAUGUGUUGUUAACUCCUUCCUUCUCAAUAUCUCUCACAGGCAGAAAGAACCAGGGAAAGAGGGUGGACUCAAACUCUCAAGUUAUUCUGUCACUUUUACCCAUCUAAGAAGGGGGAAAAGAGCAAGCAGCUGUCUGGUGCUCAGUUACCAUUGGUGAUUAAAUUGUGACAAAGAAACACAAUGAGCCCUGAAAGAGCUGCAGUUUUUACAUGGAACUCAUCUGCAUUUGGAUACUUCAUAAUGUUUAGGGAGUCUCACAAUAAUAUUGCCGGAAUACAUACCAAUACUCAAUUAAUUGUAUCUGAGGAAAGAGUGGCACUGCACCAGGAACUGCACUGCUAAGAUGGACUAUCCCAGGACAUGAUAAAAAAACUCUGCUGUGAAAAAUGAGAUUCAGUUUCCUGGUAAACUUUAAAAGGUUUAAUAAAAGACAAAGAGGAGACAAAGACGAUAAAAGCAAAGGGUUAAUUUUGGCAUUCAGCCAAGAGCACCCCCUAACUCAGAAAACACUUCUUUAAAUGCAUCAACAUGUUGCAUAUUCAUAGAACUUCAUGUAUUAUCCAAAAAUAUUCCUUUUGAGUUCCCCAACAUCCCCCCUGCUUCCAUCCUGUAAAUCAACGUUUUUUAUUUCUCGUUUUGGCUCCGUCUUGUCACAGACGAUCAAUAAAUUUCUUCCCUGGGGGUUCCAGUGUCUGUCACCACUCUCUUCAUCCAGAUAGGAUAAUCCAAGCAGGUGAAGGAUUUCCUGAUUAUCUUUUACCAUUUUUGAGCUAGUUUCAUGAACAAGAGCUUUUUACAUCAUCGUGCUAUAGUCCAAGAAAAAUACAUUUAUCACACUUCUAUUUCUAAGUUUUUUUAAUAGCUGAACUAAAAGAAACUAUAUUAAUAUAGCAAAGUUUCCAAACAUUAUACAUAUAGCAUUCAUUUUCAUAUUUGUGUAAAGCCAAUAAUAUAAUAUAUACUUAUAGCAUCUGCACUGCCAGCUCUGGCUCCAUGUGAAUAAACACAGGUGCUCUUCUUCUGAACACUGAGCACACAUUUCUUUCUUUAGUAGUGUAGGCUUUCAUGGAAGACAUAAGGAGACCUUUGCAAAUGCAUCCCUGGGCUUGUGUUCCUGAGCACAGUGCCCAAGGCAUCCCAUACAGGAGCUACAGAUGCCAGAGGGUCAGGCAGCUGUCCCCAGGCUUUGCCCAAUUCUCAGCUUUGGCUUGAUGGAAGAAUUACUGUAGUGGGUUGAUGUCAGAGCCAUUCAACACAACACUGCCAAAAGUGACAAAUACAAAAAUAAUACCACUUGAUUUCUUCUGUCACCUCCCUAUUAUUUUUGUAGGUGUCAGCAGCCCAGGGAUUUCCCCAAGAAGAUAUUCCAGCUCACUUCAAACCACUGCUUUUAGCUGUCCUGUCCAUAGUGGAUGGACAGUGACUUACUGUUUCACUUUCAGUAUCUAAUUUUCUAUGAUCACCUGUAGUGUCUCCAAGACAUCCAUAACCAAGUGUUAUUUUUUGUGUAGAGCAUCCUCUGGAGCAGUGUUAAAUGUUCAGAGGUAGAGCAAUAUUGAGGAAGAGCCAGCACUUCAAAGGCAUGAAAGAGAAGAUAUCACCUGGCACUGAAAAAAAAACCCCAAAUGAUUUUGUAGAACUGUCUAGCACGGUGUGAACUACGUACCACAAUGACUGAAAACAACUGAACCACCACACACAAACUGUCUCCCUCCCUUCUCUUGAAGGGGGAAACAUGCUGGCCCCACCUCGUUUGUUCUUCCUCACACAACUCUGUGCACAUACAUGAAUUUGGUUCCCAGAAUUACUCAAACAUCAGAAAAAACAUUUUUACCAAGACCAGUUUCUUUACCAUUCAACCUGAGAUCUUGGCUCUUGCAAACAGAUCAUUUUAGACAUUUGAUCAUCAACUCCAGUUGAACAAGUGGACACCCAAAUGCACCCGUGAGGAGCAGAGCCAGGGAAUGUCCCAUUUGAACUUGCCUUUUUCUUCCCCAUCAGGUGAUGUGUAGCAGCCACCCACCAGAGUGUCCCCGAUGCUGGUGUGGCCUCUAAUCCUGACCCAUCUGUGGUCAGCUGGCUCACUGCAUACCCCAAAGCACAAAUUCCAGCUGCUCUUCAGAGAAAGGACAAUGCCCACCCCUUGCCUUCCCAGCCUGUCUUCCCUGAAGCCUGGCUUCACUCACUGCAGUGCUCC